UCGCGAAUAUUCCGCAAUGGACGCAAGUCUGACGGAGCGACGCCGCGUGUGGGAUGAAGGCCUUAGGGUUGUAAACCACUGUCACACUUUAAGAAAUCAUCUAGGGUAACUCCUAGGUGUUGACAAAGGAGUGGAAGGAAGUCACGGCUAACUACGUGCCAGCAGCCGCGGUAAUACGUAGGUGGCAAACGUUGUUCGGAAUUACUGGGCAUAAAGAGUUUGUAGGCGGCUUAAUAAGUCAGGUGUGAAA
RNAcentral lists this ribosomal RNA (250 nucleotides) under uncultured bacterium. RNAcentral's name for it is "partial 16S ribosomal RNA". It matches the Rfam family "Bacterial small subunit ribosomal RNA", at positions 355 to 599 of the family's 1533-position model. The record is from RNAcentral.